CAGUCGCCGCGGGAAUACAGAGGGUGCAAGCGUUAAUCGGAAUUACUGGGCGUAAAGCGCGCGUAGGUGGUUUGUUAAGUUGGAUGUGAAAGCCCCGGGCUCAACCUGGGAACUGCAUCCAAAACUGGCAAGCUAGAGUACGGUAGAGGGUGGUGGAAUUUCCUGUGUAGCGGUGAAAUGCGUAGAUAUAGGAAGGAACACCAGUGGCGAAGGCGACAACCUGGACUGAUACUGACACUGAGGUGCGAAAGCGUGGGGAGCAAACAGGAUUAGAUACCCGGGUAGUCCCUGUCUCUUAUAC
Molecule: ribosomal RNA, 301 nt
Filed under: uncultured bacterium
Lineage: Bacteria
Description: partial 16S ribosomal RNA
Rfam family: Bacterial small subunit ribosomal RNA
Source: RNAcentral